GACGAACGCGGGCGGCGUGCUUAACACAUGCAAGUCGAACGAAGAGCGAUGGAAGCUUGCUUCUAUCAAUCUUAGUGGCGAACGGGUGAGUAACGCGUAAUCAACCUGCCCUUCAGAGGGGGACAACAGUUGGAAACGACUGCUAAUACCGCAUACGAUCUAACCUCGGCAUCGAGGAUAGAUGAAAGGUGGCCUCUACAUGUAAGCUAUCACUGAAGGAGGGGAUUGCGUCUGAUUAGCUAGUUGGAGGGGUAACGGCCCACCAAGGCGAUGAUCAGUAGCCGGUCUGAGAGGAUGAACGGCCACAUUGGGACUGAGACACGGCCCAGACUCCUACGGGAGGCAGCAGUGGGGAAUCUUCCGCAAUGGACGAAAGUCUGACGGAGUAACGCCGCGUGAGUGAUGACGGCCUUCGGGUUGUAAAGCUCUGUUAAUCGGGACGAAAGGCCUUCUUGCGAAUAGUUAGAAGGAUUGACGGACCGAAUAGAAAGCCACGC
This 497-nucleotide ribosomal RNA is filed under the name Veillonella parvula. RNAcentral's name for it is "bacterial SSU rRNA". It matches the Rfam family "Bacterial small subunit ribosomal RNA", at positions 28 to 496 of the family's 1533-position model. Lineage: Bacteria; Bacillati; Bacillota; Negativicutes; Veillonellales; Veillonellaceae. The record is from RNAcentral.